CAAUAGCGUAUAUUAAAGUUGUUGCGGUUAAAAAGCUCGUAGUUGGAUUUCUGCCGAGGACGACCGGUCCGCCCUCUGGGUGAGUAUCUGGCUUGGCCUGGGCAUCUUCUUGGAGAACGUAGCUGCACUUGACUGUGUGGUGCGGUAUCCAGGACUUUUACUUUGAGGAAAUUAGAGUGUUUCAAGCAGGCAUGCGCCUUGAAUACAUUAGCAUGGAAUAAUAGAAUAGGACUUGAAUCUCUUCUGUUGGUCUGAGGGGUUGAAGUAAUGAUUAAUAGGGAUAGUUGGGGGCAUUAGUACUUAACUGUCAGAGGUGAAAUUCUCGGAUUUGUUAAAGACUAACUUAUGCGAAAGCAUUUGCCAAGGAUGUUUUCAUUAAUCAAGAACGAAAGUUAGGGGAUCAAAGAUGAUCAGAUACCAU
Molecule: ribosomal RNA, 421 nt
Filed under: uncultured eukaryote
Lineage: Eukaryota
Description: bacterial SSU rRNA
Rfam family: Eukaryotic small subunit ribosomal RNA
Source: RNAcentral